Molecule: ribosomal RNA, 966 nt
Filed under: uncultured Sulfurimonas sp.
Lineage: Bacteria; Pseudomonadati; Campylobacterota; Epsilonproteobacteria; Campylobacterales; Sulfurimonadaceae
Description: bacterial SSU rRNA
Rfam family: Bacterial small subunit ribosomal RNA
Source: RNAcentral
AGAGUUUGAUCAUGGCUCAGAAUGAACGCUGGCGGCGUGCUUAACACAUGCAAGUCGAACGGUAACAGGAGAAGCUUGCUUCUUGCUGACGAGUGGCGCACGGGUGAGUAAUAUAUAGGUAAUGUGCCCCUUAGUCUGGGAUAGCCACUGGAAACGGUGAUUAAUACCGGAUACUCCUUCUUGUUUGAUGCAAGUCGGGAAAGGUUUUUCGCUAAGGGAUCGGCCUAUAUUGUAUCAGCUAGUUGGUGAGGUAAUGGCUCACCAAGGCGAUGACACAUAGCGGGUUUGAGAGGAUGAUCCGCCACACUGGUACUGAGACACGGACCAGACUCCUACGGGAGGCAGCAGUGAGGAAUAUUGCACAAUGGGGGAAACCCUGAUGCAGCAACGCCGCGUGGAGGAUGACGCAUUUCGGUGUGUAAACUCCUUUUAUCAGAGAAGAAAAUGACGGUAUCUGAUGAAUAAGCUCCGGCUAACUCCGUGCCAGCAGCCGCGGUAAUACGGAGGGAGCAAGCGUUAUUCGGAAUCACUGGGCGUAAAGGACGCGUAGGCGGGUUUUUAAGUCAGGUGUGAAAUCCUAUGGCUCAACCAUAGAACUGCACUUGAAACUGGGGACCUAGAGUAUGGAAGGGGCAGGUGGAAUUAGUGGUGUAGGGGUAAAAUCCGUAGAUAUCACUAGGAAUACCGAAAGCGAAGGCGACCUGCUGGGACAUUACUGACGCUGAGGCGUGAAAGCGUGGGGGAGCAAACAGGAUUAGAUACCCUGGUAGUCCACGCCCUAAACGAUGAAUGCUAGUCGUCGGGGAGCUUGUCUCUUCGGUGAUGCACUUAACAGAUUAAGCAUUCCGCCUGGGGAGUACGGUCGCAAGAUUAAAACUCAAAGGAAUAGACGGGGACCCGCACAAGUGGUGGAGCAUGUGGUUUAAUUCGAAGAUACGCGAAGAACCUUACCUAGCCUUGACAUUG